GACGAACGCUGGCGGCGUGCCUAAUACAUGCAAGUUGAGCGCUGAAGGUUGGUACUUGUACCAACUGGAUGAGCAGCGAACGGGUGAGUAACGCGUGGGGAAUCUGCCUUUGAGCGGGGGACAACAUUUGGAAACGAAUGCUAAUACCGCAUAAAAACUUUAAACACAAGUUUUAAGUUUGAAAGAUGCAAUUGCAUCACUCAAAGAUGAUCCCGCGUUGUAUUAGCUAGUUGGUGAGGUAAAGGCUCACCAAGGCGAUGAUACAUAGCCGACCUGAGAGGGUGAUAGGCCAAAUUGGGACUGAGACACGGCCCAAACGCCUACGGGAGGCAGCAGUAGGGAAUCUUCGGCAAUGGACGAAAGUCUGACCGAGCAACGCCGCGUGAGUGAAGAAGGGUUUCGGAUCGUAAAACUCUGUUGGUAGAGAAGAACGUUGGUGGGAGUGGAAAGCUCAUCAAGUGACGGUAACUACCCAGAAAGGGACGGCUAACUACGUG
Molecule: ribosomal RNA, 497 nt
Filed under: uncultured bacterium
Lineage: Bacteria
Description: partial 16S ribosomal RNA
Rfam family: Bacterial small subunit ribosomal RNA
Source: RNAcentral